UUCUGUUAGGUGAUGUAGAUUUCAGCAUUGAAGAUGUUGAUCAGGAUACAGAUACUAUCAGUCAUGAAUCAGAGAUCGUCUUAUGGCUGCCUGUCGUCUGUGUGCUUCUGCUACUGUUACUGGUGUCAAGUGUCUAUGUGUGUUGGAGAGGAACAGGACUGUGAAAAGGUUGUGGAAGAACUAAUAACCUGAACCAGGACUGGAUUCACAAUAGUGUUCAGGGUAAAAUGGAACAAGAUGAUUGGACACUGGCUGACGUUUUUUAUACACUGAUACCGUAAUUGAUUAUUUCAAAAUUCUUUUAUUCACUUAUCUUCAUCUUUUGUCUUAUUUAAUACAAUGUGUCUCUUUGGUAAUCAGAGUAGUUUGAUAACCCCUUUUUUUCAGAUGUGCUUCAAUGUGCAGAUUGCUAUGAAUUGUAUGUUUAACACUUAACUGUUUAUGUCAAUGCUUUAUGAUAUGUUCUGCCACUUUAAAUGUCUAACUUAUGCACAUGAAUAAUGACAAUACUUGCAAUGGCCUAUACUCUUGUAUUUUAUUGUGACUAUAUGGUAUCAAAAAGCUCCUCUCUCACAGCAGCCUUUUAACAAUGUUUCCUGUCUGUGAUUGUUGACUAAAUGUAGCUCAUGUGCCAGCAAUUUACAAAGCAAGUCGUCUCACGCACAUUGAACAGAGACACUCUAUUUAGAGAAAUACUUCUAAUAAAGUGAUAGCAG
Molecule: long non-coding RNA, 716 nt
Filed under: Sinocyclocheilus anshuiensis
Lineage: Eukaryota; Metazoa; Chordata; Actinopteri; Cypriniformes; Cyprinidae
Description: lncRNA (ENSSANG00000044917.1)
Source: RNAcentral